CCUACGGGAGGCAGCAGUGAGGAAUAUUGGUCAAUGGGCGGGAGCCUGAACCAGCCAAGUCGCGUGAGGGAAGACGGUCCUACGGAUUGUAAACCUCUUUUGCCGGGGAGCAACGGGGUCCUUGCGAGGGCCCGAUGAGAGUACCCGGAGAAAAAGCAUCGGCUAACUCCGUGCCAGCAGCCGCGGUAAUACGGAGGAUGCGAGCGUUAUCCGGAUUUAUUGGGUUUAAAGGGUGCGUAGGCGGACAGUCAAGUCAGCGGUAAAAAUGCGGUGCUCAACGCCGUACAGCCGUUGAAACUGGCAGUCUUGAGUGGGCGAGAAGUAUGCGGAAUGCGUGGUGUAGCGGUGAAAUGCAUAGAUAUCACGCAGAACUCCGAUUGCGAAGGCAGCAUACCGGCGCCCGACUGACGCUGAGGCACGAAAGCGUGGGUAUCGAACAGGAUUAGAUACCCGUGUAGUC
This 460-nucleotide ribosomal RNA is filed under the name uncultured bacterium. RNAcentral's name for it is "partial 16S ribosomal RNA". It matches the Rfam family "Bacterial small subunit ribosomal RNA", at positions 338 to 795 of the family's 1533-position model. The record is from RNAcentral.